GUUUGCGAUUCUCAGAGCUCGAAAGCUUUUCGUCUCAGUAUCAUUUUUGCAGGACUCUUUCUACUAAUUAGACCCUCAGAGGAAUGACUGAAUAUAUCUAAGGUCAACGUAUUUUCUUCGGCUGGAAGUCGCCAGAAAAUUUCAAAUGAAGCCCGAUGCCGCGUGCAACGGAAAUUUUUCAAAUAUCUGACCGCGUUCUGCGCAAUUCGCAUGGCGAUUCUUCUGAUCGCCAUGUAUUCGGGACAUGGCCAAGCACCGAUACCGUAUGAUUGAAACAACGGCUGUGUAACGUGAAUCGUUCAGUGUAUUCCCACGAAACUCAUUUGUGAACAAUAUACAAACGACAAGCCGCGUGUGGUAGAAAAAAGAACGGAGUUACUGAAAUAAAAACAGCCUGUGACAUCGAAGGUGAGUUUAGUUUAUCAAAUUUUCAUUGCUUGUGCAACUUCAGCUUUUAGUGAUUUCGAUACUCGACUCCAUGCGUCGGGUGUCGUUUGUUAUUGUUUGUGGUGCGGCUGACUUUCUGUCAGUGCGUAGUUGCAUUGUUAGCAAGUUUAACUCAAUCCGUUUAGGCAGCCAACUGUAACACGAAAAGUGUUAAUGGGCUUCAAAUAUCGAGUGUAAUUAUUACGCUGCAGUUUGCUGAACAUGUUAUUAAAACAGAUUGAAAUUGCUCUCGGGCAGAGUUUUGACUAGUCACAAGCGUUCUGUGCCGAGAAAAUGGCCCGAUAAUCUUCCGUUGUGAUUUUUUUUCCAACAUUCUGGAAAAUCGGGUCUUGCGGAAGGCGACCUUCCUGCGAGUUGCGUCUCGGAUUUCGAUUCGCGGAUCAAGUAUUUCCAACUAACUUCUGUUACCAACAUUGGUUUAAGUGUUUUGAGUAUUAUUGUGUAAUAUAAUGAUGCGAUUGGUUUAUUCGUCGCAUAUGGAAAAUCGCUUGUAUGUACGUACAGUGAUAACCAAUGAAAAUUUUGCAGUCAAUUUUGUUGUCUAUCAUUCUUGCUGCAAUAACAUCAUGUGUUAAUAUAUUUGUGAUUCAUUUCGUUACUUCCAAUUAAAAAUCGUGCAUUUUCUAAUUCUUACGUUGAAAACGCAUCUGAGAACCACUGACUCAACCACGUAUUUUGACGUACGGCAUUUUGCCGUUGCGUCGCGUCGGUACUCAGCUGCUUUCAACGUAUUAUCAAUGCAUUUGUUGCAGCGUAAAUUUGCCGUCGGGCCAAUUAGACGCCCGUGAAAAUCCAACUUGACAAAAAAAAAAAAAAAAAUACAAACGAAUUUCAUCUGUCAAGCUGCCGUCGUAUCGCCUUCAUUUUUUUACAACGUGGCAGUGAGGAAUCGCGCCAAGUAAAGCGAUGACAACUCUCCGAUUGGCCCUGGUACAACUUGCCGUAACCGACGAUAAAGCAAUAAACAUCUCUCGAGCAAUCUCCUUUGUCGAACAAGCAAAACAACGCGGUGCCGACGUCGUUGCACUGCCAGAGUGCUUCAACUCACCUUAUGGAACUGUACAUUUUCGAAAUUUCGCUGAAAAUAUUCCCGCGGGUGAGACAAGCCUUGCUUUAUCAGCUGCAGCUAAAACGAAUGAAAUUUGUGUGAUCGGUGGUUCGAUCCCGGAAAGAGAUGGGGAGCAAUUGUUCAACACUUGUACGGUCUGGGAUUCCAACGGAACAUUCAUCGGGAAAUACAGAAAGAUGCAUUUGUUCGACGUAGACGUUGAAGGAAAAAUAUCAUUCAAAGAAAGUGACACCAUCACAGCUGGCAAUGAGCUACUCACGUUUCGAGUCAAAGGCUGGAAAAUCGGUUUAGGAAUCUGUCACGACAUCCGGUUCGAAGAGUUGGCUCGUCUUUACCGUAAUUUAGGGUGUCAAUUGAUGUUUUACCCCGGUGCUUUUGAAUCGACCGUAACCGGACCGUUGCAUUGGUCUCUUCUCCAACGAGCCCGUGCCAAUGACGCCCAGCUUUACGUUGCCGGUGUAUCUUCGGCCAAAGUAGACGGUUUCGGGUACGAAUCUUAUGGCCACACGCAGCUGACGGAUCCCUGGGGAAGAGUGCUCAAGGAGUUGGAGUUCGCGGAAGAUAUGAUUGUUGCUGAUAUUGACAUGACAGUUGUUGAUGAGGUGAGAACCCAGAUUCCGAUUUUUGGUCAACGACGUGAGGACUUAUAUGAGACUGCUUGGAUAAAAAAUUAAUACGAACGCCGGAGAAGUUUUCGUCAAUGUAUAUUUUCUUUUUUUUUUAUACAGCUAAUGUAAAUUAUAUUAUUGCCCGUAUCCUUCAAAUUGACAGUUGAAAAUGCGCACUAUAAGUAAUGGAAAAAUAUCAUCCAUUUGCAUAGUUAAACUUUCGAAGCUGUCCAAUUUGUUCGCAAGUUAUUGUACCUUAAUUAGCACGCUUUGUUUUAAUUUCAGAUCACUGAAUAUAAUACAAUGAAUUUAGAAUGUUUAUUUAUACAUAAAAGGCCCCUUGAUGAUCCUCAACAAAUCUCAAUCAAACUUAAUAGUUCAUGUUUUAACAUGUUAUUACGUUCCUGUGCAUAUUACAUAAUAUGUUAUUAUUAUUUUUAUAUUUACAUUGAUAGAAUAAUAAAUUUAUACGUGUAUAAAUAUUAGUUAAAAAUGUAAGCCUAGGAGAAAUUGGUCAAUUAAUAAGACUUCUAAGUAUGAAUCUAAGGAAUAGCGAAAAAGCUUUGAUUUUCAGUCGAUAUGAGUUGGGCUGAAGUAAUCCGAACAAUAUGAAAUCGUGGUAAUAUAUCACUAUAUUGAUUUGAUUUCCGGUGAAAGCUUGCUUCUGAAAAUACAUUGAAAACAAGUUUUCAGACAAACUUGAAACAUGACUUUUGUCAAAACAUCCAAAUGUUUUCCAUCAAGUUAUUAUACGUCAGAAUUUCAUAUAAAAUCUUUAAAGUAGUUAUCCCAUUAAAAAUACAAGCGUUUUUAAACGCCCAACUCACUUGAAUAGAUUUUGCUUUUCCCAAAAUUUACUUACACAAUUAACAAGGAUGAACAGAAGAGACAAAAUAUCGCAAUAAUAUUCCAAGAAUUGGUAUUACAAGCUUGUUAAAAUUUUUUAGUAAGAAGUUGUUCAUCAGGUUUGAAAUCAAGAUCACAAAAUUUUGCGUUCAUUUUAAAAGCAGCGCUCUUCAAAUUUGUCUCAUGUUCUGAAAUCACUUUAUCAUAACAAUAACUAAUUUCAUAUAUUCCUUUUUUCAUUCCAUACAAAUCUGCAACAACGAUGUACGAAAUUUUGAUUUGUGCAAUGCGAGGCGGUAUAAUUUUUUUAAGUAAUUUAUUUUUGCAUCUUUCAAAUUGUUUGCGAGAAUCUUUCUACCGUUUGCGAGAAGAAUUGAGAAAAAAUUUAUCGAUGCAAAAUGUGAUAUUAUAGCAUGCGAUAGCGUGGAAUGAAAUAUGGUUUGAUAUUAAAUAUUAUCUUACGUCAAAAGUCAACGCGACAAAACAUAGAGAAACAUAAGUUGAUGCAGAAAUUAUUUUUAAACUGCUUAAAAUUCACCCUACUUUCAACAUUCGAUAAUAUUACGUACCUUACAUCUAAAAAGACGUCAAUUCGCUAAGAAGUAUUCAAGAAACCAUUUAUUUCAGUAAUUUCUAGCCGAUACUUCGCAAGCAUUUUCAUGCUUAUGAUGAUCGCUUGUGAUGAUAAAAAAAUUAUUUAUAUAACGCAUGUCUGGUUUAUGCGUCUCUUUUUUAUCUGCGUUUCGUACUGACAAGUUUUCAUAAAGAGCAAAAACUGACUUGAUAUUUAUGCAAAAGUUAUUAUAUACAUGUGUUCAACGAUAUGUGAUUACAGACAUAAAUUCUUAUUCGAAUGGAUGGAUUUAACGUAUCUUGAUACUGGCUCUCGUCGAUUGGAAUGACGAAACGAUAAUAUGGAUUACGUCUAUAAAUUGAAGAGGUAGAUUUGAAAAAAACUGUUCGGAUGGCAGCUCUCGGAGAUCUUAAAACAUAGAAGAUUUCUGUUUACCACUUCGCCUUGACAACCAACGGACCUGUAAACCCCGGAAACCAUACUUCAAAUUCUAGCCUUCGGCAAUGUGCUGCCAAAAGUACGGACAUGAUUUUCCACAUAUUCCUCAAUUUCACAAUAAAUUUUUCGAGAGGA
Molecule: unclassified non-coding RNA, 4117 nt
Filed under: Neodiprion pinetum (white pine sawfly)
Lineage: Eukaryota; Metazoa; Arthropoda; Insecta; Hymenoptera; Diprionidae
Description: omega-amidase NIT2-like, transcript variant X2
Source: RNAcentral